This 406-nucleotide ribosomal RNA is filed under the name uncultured bacterium. RNAcentral's name for it is "partial 16S ribosomal RNA". It matches the Rfam family "Bacterial small subunit ribosomal RNA", at positions 30 to 526 of the family's 1533-position model. The record is from RNAcentral.
AUUGAACGCUGGCGGCAGGCCUAACACAUGCAAGUCGAACGAGUGGCGGACGGGUGAGUAAUGUCUGGGACACUGCCUGAUGGAGGGGGAUAACUACUGGAAACGGUAGCUACUACCGCCUACCAUCGGAUGUGCCCAGAUGGGAUUAGCUAGUAGGUGGGGUAAAGGCUCACCUAGGCGACGAUCCCUAGCUGGUCUGAGAGGAUGCCCAGCCACACUGGAACUGAGACACGGUCAAGAAGCCUACGGGAGGCAGCAGUGGGGAAUAUGGCACAAUGGGCGAAAGCCUGAUGAAGCCAUGCGGCGUGUAUGAAGAAGGCCUUCGGGUUGUAAAGUACUUUCAGCGGGGAGGCGUUACCCGCAGAAGAAGCACCGGCUAACUCCGUGCCAGCCGCCGCGGUAAUUC